UACGUAGGGUGCGAGCGUUAAUCGGAAUUACUGGGCGUAAAGAGUGCGCAGGCGGCGGUGCAAGUCGAGUGUGAAAGCCCCGGGCUUAACUUGGGAAUUGCGCUCGAAACUACUUUGCUGGAGUGUGGCAGAGGAAGGUGGAAUUCCACGUGUAGCGGUGAAAUGCGUAGAGAUGUGGAGGAACACCAAUGGCGAAGGCAGCCUUCUGGGCCAACACUGACGCUCAUGCACGAAAGCGUGGGGAGCAAACAGG
This 253-nucleotide ribosomal RNA is filed under the name uncultured bacterium. RNAcentral describes it as "partial 16S ribosomal RNA". It matches the Rfam family "Bacterial small subunit ribosomal RNA", at positions 524 to 776 of the family's 1533-position model. The record is from RNAcentral.